UAUUCUCAACUUCAAUAGCUUUUGUGUUAUUGAAGCUUGGAUCUGGAGGUUUUUGCAGGCUCUCUUGUGAGUCAGCUCCUCUGAAAUAUAUUAGCGGAACCGUUUGUGAUCCGUCACUGGUGUGAUAAUUAUCUACGCCUAGUGGGUUGCUCUCUGUAUUGUUCAGCUUAUAAUCGUCCUAUACAUUGGACAAAUAUUAAUGAAC
Molecule: unclassified non-coding RNA, 205 nt
Filed under: uncultured Agaricaceae
Lineage: Eukaryota; Fungi; Basidiomycota; Agaricomycetes; Agaricales; Agaricaceae
Description: sequence contains ITS2
Source: RNAcentral